RNAcentral lists this ribosomal RNA (751 nucleotides) under uncultured bacterium. Its description in RNAcentral is "bacterial SSU rRNA". It matches the Rfam family "Bacterial small subunit ribosomal RNA", at positions 574 to 1333 of the family's 1533-position model. The record is from RNAcentral.
GGUGGUUUUAUAAGCCAGAGGUUAAAUCUCCAAGCUCAACUUGGAAUACGCCUUUGGAACUGUAAGACUCGAGGGGCAAAGAAGAAGCUGGAACCAGCGGUGUAGUAGUGAAAUGCGUUGAUAUCGCUGGGAACACCAAUAGCGAAGGCAGGCUUCUAGGUGCCACCUGACACUGCUAGGACGAAAGCGUGGGGAGCGAAUGGGAUUAGAUACCCCAGUAGUCCACGCUGUAAACGAUGCACAUUCGGUGCUAGGGAGUAUCGACCCUCCUUAGUGCCCAAGCUAACGCGUUAAAUGUGCCGCCUGGGGAGUACGGUCGCAAGACUAAAACUCAAAGGAAUUGACGGGGACCUGCACAAGCGGUGGAGCAUGUGGUUUAAUUCGACGGUAAGCGAGGAACCUUACCAGGGUUUGACAUGUAUCUGCAAAUCUCCCGAAAAGGAGACUCUUUCGAAGGUGAUACACAGGUGUUGCACGGUUGUCGUCAGCUCGUGCCGUGAGGUGUUCACUUAAGUGUGAAAACGAGCGCAACCCCUACUGUCUGUUACAAGUGUCAGACGGAACUGCCCCGGUUUAACGGGGAGGAAGGUGGGGAUGACGCCAAAUCAGCGUGAUUCUUACGCCCUGGGCCACACACGUGCUACAAUGGAUAGUUACAAAGGGACGCCAAAGCGUAAGCUGGAGCAAAUCCUAUCAAAGCUAUCCUCAGUUCGGAUUGAGGGCUGAAACUCGCCCUCAUGAAGCUGGAAUC